This 387-nucleotide unclassified non-coding RNA is filed under the name soil metagenome. RNAcentral describes it as "partial contains 5.8S ribosomal RNA, internal transcribed spacer 2, and large subunit ribosomal RNA". The stretch from base 1 to 120 matches the Rfam family "5.8S ribosomal RNA", at positions 35 to 154 of the family's 154-position model. The record is from RNAcentral.
GAUGAAGAACGUAACGAAAUGCGAUAAGUAAUGUGAAUUGCAGAAUUCAGUGAAUCAUCGAAUCUUUGAACGCACCUUGCACCCUUUGGUAUUCCGAAGGGUAUGCUCGUUUGAGUGUCAUUGUACUCUCACACUUCUAAUUCCUUUCGGGAUUGGGAGCGGUGGACUUGGGUGUUGCUGCUUUAGUUGUGGCUCACCUCAAAUAAGUUAGUGCAACUCUUGGUUGGACAUAGUACGGCGUGAUAAGUGUCUUCGCCGGCGCCUCUGUAAGGAGGGUGGCCGAUCGGGAGCUCUGUGCUUCAAACCGUCUUCGGACAAUCUUUGACAACUUGACCUCAAAUCGAGUAGGACUACCCGCUGAACUUAAGCAUAUCAAUAAGCGGAGGA